Molecule: long non-coding RNA, 1869 nt
Organism: Heterocephalus glaber (naked mole-rat)
Lineage: Eukaryota; Metazoa; Chordata; Mammalia; Rodentia; Bathyergidae
Source: Ensembl
CGCGCGCGGAGGCCCUGCGGGGCCCGGGCUCCGGAGGAAGGGCGGGCUCGGCGGCGCCCCCCUGGCGACAGAGCGAGGAAGGGCGGCGGGGGCCGGCGCCGCGCAGAGGACGCCGCUGCGUCCCGGGGCUCACCGCGGGCGGGAGUUUGAGGACUGAAGCGGAGAAAUGCGGUCCCGGUUCGAGACGCUGUGCCACGCGGAACCUGAAUGUGCGUGUCUUCGCGGCUUCAGCUCCGAGGACGGCCGGGGGAACCACCGCGUCCCCUCCGGACCUUCCGCGCGAGCUUCUGCCGUCGCGCGCGGGCGCCCGCUGUGGAUUUUUCUGGCUGGCCUUGGCCACUCGGGGCUCCCAGCCGCGGGCAAAGCUGAGGUGCGACCUGGACGGAACAAGGGUCCCGGAGCCGUGAGCGCCGAGGGGGAAGGCCGGAGGAGAGCGGCCCCGGCCGGAGCGCGCGCUGUAGCCAGCUUUCCGCCGGGCGAGGCCGCUGCGGAAGGAACCUGCAAAUACGGCCGCGCCUUCGGUUCAGCGGGCUGCCUGGAACCCAGGACCGAGUGUAAAGGAAAUCGAAGGCUAAGCUCAUCACGUAUAUUUUUAGAACCUCCCUUCUUCCAGGAAUCUCUCCUCUCCACCUCCUCCACCAGUAGAUGUACGCCGGAAAACGCUUCACCUCCAGCCCAGCAGCGAGAAGAGAAGACCAGAAGUGUGGGGGUCCGGGAUAUCCGCUUUCGGGCCUCGCCCCCAGCGACCUCACUUCCGCCCAGCAGGCCCCUCCCCUCGAAGACUCCCCCACCUCCACUUGAGCCGCAGGCUGCGGACCGAGCCCCUAGCACGUCGGCCGGGUAGGGGGGAUAUUGAGGAGGCCACCCUGACGGCAGCCGCCCCAAACGCUGUCUUUCUGGCCUCAGGGUGACCUUGAGCGGUCCUGUUGCGAGACCCGGCUAAGGCGUAAACGGGCACGGUGUCAACGUAUUCCCUGUAGCUGGGCGCUCCCCUCCUACCCACGGUUGGAUGACCACGGGGCCCGCGAAACCCCCGCUCUGCGGGUGGACCCCAAGUGAGCAGGUGGGCGAGGGGAGUCGUCGCCUCCACGGGUCCCGCCCCUCCAGCCCGCGGACCGCGGCCCUCACCGCCCGGGCUCUGCACAUUCAAUGCCGCUGAGUUUCGGGUUCAGGAAGCGGUUUCAGGGGCGCCGGGCCUUCGCGGUCGUCCCAGCCGGCCCUGGACGCUCAGCGCCCCUAUCUUUGAGUCCACGUGGCCAAUCUCCCCCGCCGCUGGCCGCGUGGCCUAAUGGAUAAGGCGUCUGAUUCCGGAUCAGGAGAUUGAGGGUUCGAGUCCCUUCGUGGUCGACGUUUUUCCUUCCUGUGCUACUAGGCGGAAGGAGAUUAAACUGAACGACGGUUAAGUCCGGUGUGUGUGACGUUUGCCUUCUUACUGCUGCCCGGGGGAGGGGGCGUCACUAAGGAUCUGACUUCCGGGCCGCACGGGGGAAGUCAAGUCAUUGCAGGGGGCGGGGCACUACAAUUGGUUCCGAGUCCCUGCAAAAUAAUAAGGAGCUGAGAUGAGAAGGAAGAGAGCGGAGGGUGCCCCCCGUGCGCGGUGUGCCUGGCCCGCGGGAGGCCCCGUCUGCCCUCGGCACCGACGUGAGCAUGAUAACGACCUCUGACUUUGCCGCAGCACAGGUCGACAUCCGCUGACGGCGCACACGGUGCCUGCGUCACACCACCACGAGCCUUAUCAAUAUUCCCAUUUCACGGAGGCAGAAACCGAGACCUAAAAAGGCUGAGAACGAGCUGCACUAGAGAAGGAUGAGUUAUUCUGUUUUCUGUUGAAGUUCACACUGUACUGUAUGCUUCAGUUUGAAAAAAAAC